GACGAACGCUGGCGGCGUGCUUAACACAUGCCAGUCGAACGCUGAAGCUCAGCUUUCGUUGGGUGGAUGAGUGGCGAACGGGUGAGUAACACGUGAGUAACCUGCCUCCUUCUUUGGGAUAACGCCCGGCAACCGGUGCUACUCCUGGAUAUUCACUGGUCUUCGCAUGGGGGCUGGUGGAAAGGGGUUUUCUGGUGGGGGAUGGGCUCGCGGCCUAUCAGCUUGUUGGUGGGGUGAUGGCCUACCAAGGCUUUGACGGGUAGCAGGGAUGGGAGGGUAACCGGGAACAUUGGGACAGACCAAAGGCCAAGACUCAGACGGGAGGGGGAAGUGUGGAGGAUUGGACAAAGCGUGAAAGCGUGAUGCAGCGACGGCGAAGGAGGGAUGGGGACCUUAGGGUUGUUAACCUCUUUCGGAAAGGGUCUAACCGAAACAAUGGUUGUGGUGAGGGUAGUGGGUGAAGAAGCGCCGGCUAACUACGUG
RNAcentral lists this ribosomal RNA (483 nucleotides) under uncultured bacterium. RNAcentral's name for it is "partial 16S ribosomal RNA". It matches the Rfam family "Bacterial small subunit ribosomal RNA", at positions 28 to 507 of the family's 1533-position model. The record is from RNAcentral.